RNAcentral lists this ribosomal RNA (465 nucleotides) under uncultured Klebsiella sp. RNAcentral's name for it is "bacterial SSU rRNA". It matches the Rfam family "Bacterial small subunit ribosomal RNA", at positions 338 to 795 of the family's 1533-position model. Lineage: Bacteria; Pseudomonadati; Pseudomonadota; Gammaproteobacteria; Enterobacterales; Enterobacteriaceae. The record is from RNAcentral.
CCUACGGGUGGCUGCAGUGGGGAAUAUUGCACAAUGGGCGCAAGCCUGAUGCAGCCAUGCCGCGUGUGUGAAGAAGGCCUUCGGGUUGUAAAGCACUUUCAGCGGGGAGGAAGGCGUUAAGGUUAAUAACCUUGUCGAUUGACGUUACCCGCAGAAGAAGCACCGGCUAACUCCGUGCCAGCAGCCGCGGUAAUACGGAGGGUGCAAGCGUUAAUCGGAAUUAUUGGGCGUAAAGCGCACGCAGGCGGUCUGUCAAGUCGGAUGUGAAAUCCCCGGGCUCAACCUGGGAACUGCAUUCGAAACUGGCAGGCUAGAGUCUUGUAGAGGGGGGUAGAAUUCCAGGUGUAGCGGUGAAAUGCGUAGAGAUCUGGAGGAAUACCAGUGGCGAAGGCGGCCCCCUGGACAAAGACUGACGCUCAGGUGCGAAAGCGUGGGGAGCAAACAGGAUUAGAUACCCUAGUAGUC